This 282-nucleotide ribosomal RNA is filed under the name unidentified marine bacterioplankton. RNAcentral describes it as "partial 16S ribosomal RNA". It matches the Rfam family "Bacterial small subunit ribosomal RNA", at positions 62 to 339 of the family's 1533-position model. The record is from RNAcentral.
UCGAGCGGCAAGUUGAGUAGUAAUACUUGACCUAGAGCGGCGCACGGGUGCGUAACGCGUAUGCAACCUACCUUUACUGGGGGAUAGCCCGGAGAAAUCUGGAUUAAUACCCCAUGGUAUCUACGAAUCGAAUGGUUUGUAGCUUAAAGAUUUAUACGGUAAAAGAUGGGCAUGCGUCUGAUUAGCUAGGUUGGCGGGGUAACGGCCCACCAAGGCGACGAUCAGGUAGGGUUCUGAGAGGAACGGUCCCCCACACUGGCACUGAGAUACGGGCCAGACUCC